This 468-nucleotide ribosomal RNA is filed under the name uncultured bacterium. Its description in RNAcentral is "partial 16S ribosomal RNA". It matches the Rfam family "Bacterial small subunit ribosomal RNA", at positions 28 to 507 of the family's 1533-position model. The record is from RNAcentral.
GACGAACGCUGGCGGCGUGCUUAACACAUGCAAGUCGAACGGAAAGGCCCUGCUUUUGUGGGGUGCUCGAGUGGCGAACGGGGGAGUAACACGUGAGUAACCUGCCCUUGACUUUGGGAUAACUUCAGGAAACUGGGGCUAAUACCGGAUAGGAGCUCCUGCUGCAUUGUGGGGGUUGGAAAGUUUCGGCGGUUGGGGAUGGACUCGCGGCUUAUCAGCUUGUUGGUGGGGGAGUGGCUUACCAAGGCUUUGACGGGUAGCCGGCCUGAGAGGGUGACCGGCCACAUUGGGACUGCGAUACGGCCCAGACUCCUACGGGAGGCAGCAGUGGGGAAUAUUGCACAAUGGGCGGAAGCCGGAUGCAGCAACGCCGCGUGCGGGAUGACGGCCUUCGGGUUGUAAACCGCUUUCGCCUGUGACGAAGCGUGAGUGACGGUAAUGGGUAAAGAAGCACCGGCUAACUACGUG